This is a long non-coding RNA of Rhodamnia argentea, 123 nucleotides long. RefSeq lists it as uncharacterized. The record is from RefSeq and is a predicted model, not a curated record. The transcript has 3 exons. Lineage: Eukaryota; Viridiplantae; Streptophyta; Magnoliopsida; Myrtales; Myrtaceae.
CAAUCAUCUAGCUGCAAGAUCUUCCACCAUCAUUGCCAUGAAAGAACUAGCGAUGGACCUAAAUAUUAUGACCGACUUCACAGCAGCAGCAGAUGUCUGAAAUAAGGUUCACUAAUUUUUUCA